GCCUUCAUAGUGUAACGGUAGCACAUUCCGCACGUAUUCAAGAGGUUCAGGUUCGAGUCCCGGCGAGGGCA
This 71-nucleotide transfer RNA is filed under the name Stegodyphus mimosarum. It matches the Rfam family "tRNA". Rfam says of the family: Transfer RNA (tRNA) molecules are approximately 80 nucleotides in length. Their secondary structure includes four short double-helical elements and three loops (D, anti-codon, and T loops). Further hydrogen bonds mediate the characteristic L-shaped molecular structure. tRNAs have two regions of fundamental functional importance: the anti-codon, which is responsible for specific mRNA codon recognition, and the 3' end, to which the tRNAs corresponding amino acid is attached (by aminoacyl-tRNA synthetases). tRNAs cope with the degeneracy of the genetic code in two manners: having more than one tRNA (with a specific anti-codon) for a particular amino acid; and 'wobble' base-pairing, i.e. permitting non-standard base-pairing at the 3rd anti-codon position. The record is from Rfam by way of RNAcentral. Lineage: Eukaryota; Metazoa; Arthropoda; Arachnida; Araneae; Eresidae.